ACGUAGGGUGCGAGCGUUAAUCGGAAUUGCUGGGCGUAAAGCGUGCGCAGGCGGUUCGCUAAGACAGGUGUGAAAUCCCCGGGCUUAACCUGGGAACUGCGUUUGUGACUGUAGGGCUUGAGUGCGGCAGAGGGGGGUGGAAUUCCACGUGUAGCAGUGAAAUGCGUAUAGAUGUGGAGGAACACCGAUGGCGAAGGCAGCCCCCUGGGCCGAUACUGACGCUCAUGCACGAAAGCGUGGGGAGCAAACAG
RNAcentral lists this ribosomal RNA (251 nucleotides) under uncultured prokaryote. RNAcentral's name for it is "partial 16S ribosomal RNA". It matches the Rfam family "Bacterial small subunit ribosomal RNA", at positions 525 to 775 of the family's 1533-position model. The record is from RNAcentral.